GGCAGCGGUCCGUGGAGGAGCCCGGAAGCGGCGCGGGGUUCGCGCUCUUCCCUGGAGGCGCACCAUUCUCCGGGCGGCUUCUCUAUUGUAUCGUCGCAAGGGGCAGCAUCAGGCCGGCCUGGCCAAGGCCGACAUCCUCGCUCGCGGGACUCCUGGGCGGAGCCAGGCGGGCAGGGCGGGCUUUCAGCUUUGCUGGGGUCGCGGCGGAAACCUACAGGUCACAGAGACCAAAAAUAACCGAGGAGAGGAAGGGCGAACCUGCCAGCAUCAACUACCCUUUCUCCAGCGGGGCUAGAACACUUGCCUCUGCCCUUCUAGUAAAACCACUUCCUAACCACGGUUUUGCAUCUCACGAUCAUCUACUAAACAGACAAGCCAGGACCACCGGAGCAAUCUGCCCCUCCACCUCCUAGAGCACGAAUGGCCCGGCUUCCCAUUUCUUCACUGUAAUUCAAGCCCCCAAGGACCCUCACCUUGAAACUUGGACUCAAGGAUUUAUACCGGACAAGUGGGGGAUGGGAAAGGAGGGAGAGAGGCUGUGUAAUUUAAAAAAGCAUAUUGAGCCUUAUAGUUUUAUAUGUGGAAAAUAAAAACAGUCCUACCCCCCAAAA
Long non-coding RNA from Myotis myotis, 611 nucleotides. RefSeq lists it as uncharacterized. The transcript has 2 exons. The record is from RefSeq and is a predicted model, not a curated record. NCBI's taxonomy places the organism in Eukaryota, Metazoa, Chordata, Mammalia, Chiroptera, Vespertilionidae.